UGGAAAACACCCGGAGAAACAUCCGUGUAUUUAUGUAGCAAGGUUGCAGAGCGGUUUGGGAUAGGGGCGGGGAGGGGGGCGGGGUAGGUCCGGGGGCUUUUAGGGAAUUUCGGGGGUGGGAGAAGGGAGGGGGGCGGGAGCUGCGGGCUUUGUGUUGUUUCUGUUGUUGACUUGCAGGUGAAGAGGCGGCCGGAAUUCCCGCUCGGUUUUCCCGGGAAAAGCCGGCUCGAGCUCCAGGACUGGGAUGGAGGAUUUCCAGGCGCGGCCGCGGGGCUGCUCCCGGGCUUUUUGGGACUCCGGGAAUCUCCAGAUCCAGGGGGGGUUUUUUUUUUGGGAUUUUUCGUUUUUUCCACGGAUGCGAGGUUUCCUCCCCGGCCAUCCAGGAGCUGGUUUGGUUCUUCUUUUUUUUUUUUCUUUUUCUUUUUUUUUUUGGGGAAAAGGAGGAGCUUGGGAAUUUUGCAUCGGGAAUUUUGCACUGUCCACGGAGCGGGGUUGGGGCGGGGGGGGAAGAGGAUUCAGGAAAACUCGGAAAAUCGGGAUGGAGGCCGCGUCGUUCCCGGCGGAUUUCCGGGGAAAAUUCCCCUUUUCCCGCCUUUUUUUUCUCUCUCUCGCAGAAGCCAUGAGCAAAACUCUCCAAACUUUUUCAGGGAAUGGGAACGGGAAUAACACAAAAUUAACCGGAUGCCUUUAAUCCUAACGCAUUAAAAAUGUUGGGGUUUGGUUCUUUUCGUUUCCGUGUGCCCGCAGCGGGAGUUUUUUUCCCCGCUGUGGAAUCCGUGUGGGUGGAAUUUUUGGGAAUGCUUGGAAGGAGCGCUGGAAUGAUUGUGGUGAGUCCCGGGAACGCCGGAAUUCCCGGCGCCAUUCCCAGAUUUUUGGACCCUCCCCCUUUCUCCCCGUUUGACUCAUGCCUUAAAGAAAAAACAAAACAAAAAAAAACCACGUUUGGACUUUUUCUGGGAAUUUUCUUCCGGGAGCGCUCGGAUUUCGUGGAUCCUUCCCGGUUUUUGGGGGGGCAAUCCCAAAUCCCGCCGUUCCCCGCUCAGCAGAGGAAUUCCGGAGGCUCUGGAUUGCGCUGCCAGCGGGAUCAGCCCCCGGAGGAGCCUGGAAUUCCCAAGGAUUCGCUCCCGGAGCCCGGAAUUCCCAAGGAUUCGCUCCGGGAGCCCGGAAUUCCCAAGGAUUCGCUCCGGGAGCCCGGAAUUCCCAAGGAUUCUCCCCCGGAGCACAAACGUCGGGAAUGCCGGGGGGGGCAGAGAAUUCCCUGCUGGAAGAAGAGCCAGGAGCGAUUCCCAAAGUCCCAGCCCGGCCGGGUUGGGGAUCCUUGGAAUGUGGAGUUCAAAGAAUUUGGGGUGGAAAACCCCUGGAUUAUCCCAAAAAACACAAAAACAAAACCACACAAAAUAAACCCAACCACCGCGGAGAGGGCGCGAGGAGGAACUCAGGAAUUACACGAGGAGGCCUUUCCCGGAAUUCCCGCCGCCGAUCCCAGCUCCGAGGGCCGGAACCGUCGGGAAGAACAAACACAGACAAAAAAAAAGGGGGGAAAACCCUGGAAUUUUCCCCCUCCAAUCCUUCGGGUUCCAGGCGAAAUCCCACGGGAGGAGCAGGAGGAAAGUCGGAGUUUUUGUGGCUUUAAAAAGGAAUUUUUGGGAUCGGGGGUUUUUUUUGGGAAGGGUGGGAAUGUUGGGGUUUUUUGUUUUCACAGCCAUUGCACUGCAAAAAAGAAAAAAAAAAAAAAAAAAAAAAAAGCAGGAAGAGGAAGGAAAAACAGAAAAAUAAAGCAGGAAGAGGAGAAGGAAAACGUUUAAAAAACAACGGAUUUAAAGGAAAAAAAAAAAUCAACCAGAUCAGAAUUUUCUGGAGAAAAAAAUCGGAAGUUUCAAGGAAAAAUUCCUAAAAUUCCAGCGUGCCAAACCAUUUAAUAGAAAACAAACCCUCGGGAAGUUGGGAAUGGUUGGAAUUCUCUCCUGGAUGAAUUUGCCCCGGAGCAUGAUCCCGUUUUUCCAGCUGUUUUUUUUUUUUUUUUUGGUUUUUUUGUUAAUUUCGCUUCUUUUUCGUAGCAAAUCCGUAGGAAAAAUGUAAAAAAAAAAAAAAAACAAAAAAAAAAACCACAAAAAAGACUUUUGAUGGGACAGCCCCAAAAAGGGGAAAUUUCUGGGGAGGAAUUUCCCAAAAAGGGGGAAAAGGAGGGGAAAUCCAACAGCAUUAAUGGGGCUGUCCCGGAUCUUUUUAUUUAUUCCAUAAUUAUGUUGAGGUUUUUUAUUAUUUUAAGCUGUUUUUUCUGUUGGUUUCUUUCUUUUUUUUCGCGUCUCCGCAUCCUGGUGGGAUUGAGAAAAAAAAACCAGGAAUUUUCUCUCGGUUGAAAUCAUCAAAAAUCCGGAAAAACUUUGGAUUUUCCGGGGAAAACUUUGAUUUUCUUUGUUUUUUUUUUUAAAAAGCGCUUUUUAAACCGAUAUUUACGCUUUUCUUUGGGUUCCAAAACCCCUUUUUCGAGGGAUUUCGAGGGAUUUGAACUCUCCCCGGUGGGAAUCCAUCGGGAAAAGUGAUGGAAUUUGGGAUGGGGAGCGUGGCUUUGUACAUAGGGUGUAAAGUAGAGGGGCAGAAAAACAAAAACACAAAAAAAAAAAAAAGACAAAAAAUCCGAAAUUUGUGCCUUUAAAAAAUUCCGAUUUCUAUAAAAAUCAGAUUUAAAAAAGGGUUGCAUAUAUAUAUUAUAUAUAUAUAUGAUGGAGUGCUAGAGAAAUUUAUGGAUAAUAUACAUAUUUUUUUCCAGGGGUAUCCCAUAGCUCCGUAUUUUGUUAUGGAAGUUGAAAAAAAAAAAACGGAAAAAAGGAAAAAAAAAAAAAAAAAAAAACCUGAAAAAUAAAAGUAUUUUACCUCGAAUUCA
Serinus canaria (Common canary) is the source of this 2884-nucleotide long non-coding RNA. NCBI's taxonomy places the organism in Eukaryota, Metazoa, Chordata, Aves, Passeriformes, Fringillidae. The record is from Ensembl.